Small nucleolar RNA from Octodon degus (degu), 72 nucleotides. RefSeq annotates it as small nucleolar RNA SNORD113/SNORD114 family. NCBI's taxonomy places the organism in Eukaryota, Metazoa, Chordata, Mammalia, Rodentia, Octodontidae. The record is from RefSeq and is a predicted model, not a curated record. The transcript has a single exon.
UAGACCCAUGGCAACCAAUGUUGGUGUGUGAGUCAUGGAUGGUGAUUACAGAUCUAAAAGUCUGAGCUUAAA